Molecule: ribosomal RNA, 440 nt
Filed under: uncultured bacterium
Lineage: Bacteria
Description: partial 16S ribosomal RNA
Rfam family: Bacterial small subunit ribosomal RNA
Source: RNAcentral
CCUACGGGAGGCAGCAGUGGGGAAUAUUGCACAAUGGGGGGAACCCUGAUGCAGCGACGCCGCGUGAGUGAAGAAGUAUUUCGGUAUGUAAAGCUCUAUCAGCAGGGAAGAAAAUGACGGUACCUGACUAAGAAGCCCCGGCUAACUACGUGCCAGCAGCCGCGGUAAUACGUAGGGGGCAAGCGUUAUCCGGAUUUACUGGGUGUAAAGGGAGCGCAGACGGCUGUGCAAGUCUGGAGUGAAAGGCGGGGGCCCAACCCCCGGACUGCUCUGGAAACUGUAAAGCUGGAGUGCAGGAGAGGUAAGCGGAAUGCCUAGUGUAGCGGUGAAAUGCGUAGAUAUUAGGAGGAACACCGGUGGCGAAGGCGGCCUGCUGGACUGUGACUGACGUUGAGGCCCGAAGGCGUGGGGAGCAAACAGGAUUAGAUACCCUUGUAGUC